RNAcentral lists this ribosomal RNA (491 nucleotides) under uncultured bacterium. Its description in RNAcentral is "partial 16S ribosomal RNA". It matches the Rfam family "Bacterial small subunit ribosomal RNA", at positions 30 to 506 of the family's 1533-position model. The record is from RNAcentral.
AGUGAACGCUGGCGGUAGGCCUAACACAUGCAAGUCGAACGGCAGCACAGUAAGAGCUUGCUCUUACGGGUGGCGAGUGGCGGACGGGUGAGGAAUACAUCGGAAUCUACUUUUUCGUGGGGGAUAACGUAGGGAAACUUACGCUAAUACCGCAUACGACCUACGGGUGAAAGCAGGGGAUCUUCGGACCUUGCGCGAUUGAAUGAGCCGAUGUCGGAUUAGCUAGUUGGCGGGGUAAAGGCCCACCAAGGCGACGAUCCGUAGCUGGUCUGAGAGGAUGAUCGGGCCAGCUGGAGGUGAGACAGGGCAAAGGCUCCAACGGGCGGCAGCGGUGGGGAAGAGUGAAAAAUGGGCGGAGGCCUGGUCAAGCCAGACCGCGUGGAUGAAGAAGGCCUUCGUGUUGUAAAGCCCUUUUGUUGGGAAAAAAAAGCAGCAGCUGAAGCCCCCGGUGUUCUGCCGGAACCAAAAGAGAAGGAACCGGUUAACUUCGG